AGUAUCAUAUUUAAUGAAUUCAAUUUCGACUUGAAAAAUAGAUUAUUCUCUA
Molecule: transfer RNA, 52 nt
Filed under: Ichneumonidae sp. MT-2014
Lineage: Eukaryota; Metazoa; Arthropoda; Insecta; Hymenoptera; Ichneumonidae
Description: tRNA-Arg
Source: RNAcentral